Prionailurus viverrinus (fishing cat) is the source of this 1334-nucleotide long non-coding RNA. RefSeq lists it as uncharacterized. NCBI's taxonomy places the organism in Eukaryota, Metazoa, Chordata, Mammalia, Carnivora, Felidae. The record is from RefSeq and is a predicted model, not a curated record. The transcript is spliced from 3 exons.
UGUUCACCUCAUCCAGAAACAUCCUCACGGACACGCCCAGAGUGAUGCUUGACCGAUGUCUGGGCCGCCUAUGGCCAGUCAAGUUGACGCACAGAAUUACCCAUCAUAGCAGGUGCCUCGUUCUGCCCUAAACAUGUGCAGGAUGCCGUGGGUGUUAGUCAAGGAGCCGUCUCUGUCCGCAGCCCCCGCGACCCAGGCCCUGGGUUUCAGCUCUGCAACUCCGCUUUGGCCGUGCCUGAUCCAGGAGAGACAACCAACUGGAGACACCAUGUUCAGAGGCUACCUGGAGCCCUGUGGCCAGUGCAACCAGGCUUCCAGUAAUGAGCUGGACAAUCAGAACUUCUCUCUGUCAUGGGGCUGGGACUCAGGAACUUGAAGAAUCACUACCUGGCCUGUCUGUACCAUAGCCUCGUCUCUCCAGGGAGGAGGGCACCACUGACCAUCUCUGUUUGCCACAGAAUUAAGAGGAUGAGGACCGUUUUUGCCAGGGCUGUCUCCAGUAUUGGCUGGAGAAGAAGAAAACUUCCUUCUCGAGAAGCCGACAGCCACCAGCCAGGGCAGAGCCUGCCUGCCAGCAGCCUGCAGGGCCCCCCCCCAAUGCCUGAGGGCUUUCUAGACCCUGCAGCUCCUCUUUGGGGGCUGUCUCCCCCCCAGCCUCUGGGGUCCCCAUCACCCUCUGCAAAUUGUGCUUCGUCUCCUACCACUUGUGACUCCACGUUCCCUCCCCCGGGUCUGUGCUCCACGGUCCCCAUGCCCACGGGCCACCCUUCCCUCUGCCCAGUGAGCUCCUCACCAUCCUGCCAGGCUCCUGCGGAGACCUUCGGACUCACAUCAGCAGGCAGCGGGGAGCAGGGGGAGGGUGUGGGCCCGGGAGAGGGAGGCGAUAGGAGUCAGAACCACCCCUGCUGGCCCCUCACGUGAUGACUCUUGGGGGGUGCUGGUCUGCCCCCUCCCUGUCGGGCCCCCACACCAGAGAGACCACCUCUGCUCUCCCCCCGGGCUGGGCCCACCCAGAGUUCCAAGGCCCGGGACCUGCUCCUCACACGGCCUCUGGCUUUCUGCUCGGCCGCAGUUUUUCCAUGGCCCCGGCAGCGAAUCAUGCCAUGGGCGCAGAAAGCCUCCAUGACCUUCAAGUGAACGUUCACAUCUUAGCCCGAGACGUCCCAUUAUCUUCACUCUUUUAGCUUUACAUAUUUUCAGGGGUUGCUUGCCCUGGUGCCUCCCUCGUGUCCUACUGGGCUGUCCUUGUUUUCUCCAUCUGUAAAACAGGCAAGUGCUGAUGCCCCCUGCCAGGCUCCAUGCAGGGCUCACUUCGAGGACUCACUUCGAGGACU